This 49-nucleotide transfer RNA is filed under the name Cuscuta sandwichiana. Its description in RNAcentral is "partial tRNA-Phe". It matches the Rfam family "tRNA", at positions 1 to 47 of the family's 71-position model. Rfam says of the family: Transfer RNA (tRNA) molecules are approximately 80 nucleotides in length. Their secondary structure includes four short double-helical elements and three loops (D, anti-codon, and T loops). The record is from RNAcentral. Lineage: Eukaryota; Viridiplantae; Streptophyta; Magnoliopsida; Solanales; Convolvulaceae. RNAcentral also lists the same sequence under 1 other name.
GUCGGGAUAGCUCAGUCGGUAGAGCAGAGGACUGAAAAUCCUCGUGUCA